RNAcentral lists this ribosomal RNA (251 nucleotides) under uncultured prokaryote. RNAcentral's name for it is "partial 16S rRNA". It matches the Rfam family "Bacterial small subunit ribosomal RNA", at positions 525 to 775 of the family's 1533-position model. The record is from RNAcentral.
ACGUAGGGGGCAAGCGUUGCUCGGAAUUACUGGGCGUAAAGGGUGUGUAGGUGGCUGAUUAAGUUAAGGAUGAAAUCCCGAGGCUCAACUUCGGAACUGUCCUUGAUACUGGUCAGCUUGAGGAUAGUAAAGGAGAGCGGAAUUCCAGGUGGAGCGGUGAAAUGCGUAGAGAUGUGGAGGAACACCAGAGGCGUAGGCGGUUCGCUAGACUGGACCUGACGCUGAGGCGCGAAAGCUAGGGGAGCAAACAG